UUUCUGGAAAAAUAAUCAAAAAAACUAGACACAAAAUGUGAUCUAAUGCAAAAAUCCACACAUUUUUUGGAUGAUUAUUUAAUCAGAUAUGAAUUUAUGAAAUGAAAGAAAAAAUAAAAAAAACAUGAAAAGCAUAGUAUGAAUAACAUGGAGGAAAAUGAGAUAAAAUGUGAAUGGCAUUUUUGGAUUUGUCACGAGCCAGGAUCGAAGUGAGGAUAAUUUUGAAUUGGAGCGCGCUUAGAGUGAAACGCGCCGUUUCACUUAAACGGACGUGGCAAGGUUAAGCGCUUAUGGC
This 295-nucleotide long non-coding RNA is filed under the name Lathyrus oleraceus (garden pea). RNAcentral describes it as "Pisum sativum (pea) long non-coding RNA (PSAT_LNC023744)". Lineage: Eukaryota; Viridiplantae; Streptophyta; Magnoliopsida; Fabales; Fabaceae. The record is from RNAcentral.